UACGUAGGGGGCGAGCGUUGUCCGGAAUUAUUGGGCGUAAAGAGCGUGUAGGCGGUUCGGUAAGUCUGCUGUGAAAUCCUGGGGCUCAACCCCGGGUCGGCGGUGCGAACGGGGGGGCUGGAGCGGAUCAGAGGCGGGCGGAAUUCUCGGUGUAGCGGUGAAAUUCGUAGAGAUUCGCAAGAACACCGGUGGCGAAGGCGGCCAACUGGCUCGACACUGACGCUGAGGCGCGAAAGCGUGGGGAGCAAACAGG
This 253-nucleotide ribosomal RNA is filed under the name uncultured bacterium. Its description in RNAcentral is "partial 16S ribosomal RNA". It matches the Rfam family "Bacterial small subunit ribosomal RNA", at positions 524 to 776 of the family's 1533-position model. The record is from RNAcentral.